CCUACGGGAGGCAGCAGUGAGGAAUAUUGGUCAAUGGGCGCGAGCCUGAACCAGCCAAGUAGCGUGAAGGAUGACUGCCCUACGGGUUGUAAACUUCUUUUAUAAAGGAAUAAAGUGAGGCACGUGUGCCUUUUUGUAUGUACUUUAUGAAUAAGGAUCGGCUAACUCCGUGCCAGCAGCCGCGGUAAUACGGAGGUGGCAAGCGUUAUCCGGAUUUACUGGGUUUAAAGGGCGUGUAGGCGGGGAAGCAAGUCAGAUGUGAAAACCACGGGCUCAACCUGUGGCCUGCAUUUGAAACUGGUUGUCUGGAGUACUGGAGAGGUAGACGGAAUUCCUGGUGUAGCGGUGAAAUGCGUAGAUAUUAGGAAGAACACCGGUUGCGAAGGCAGUCUGCUGGACAGCAACUGACGCUGAGGCGCGAAAGCGUGGGUAGCAAACAGGAUUAGAUACCCCAGUAGUC
This 460-nucleotide ribosomal RNA is filed under the name uncultured bacterium. RNAcentral describes it as "partial 16S ribosomal RNA". It matches the Rfam family "Bacterial small subunit ribosomal RNA", at positions 338 to 795 of the family's 1533-position model. The record is from RNAcentral.